GACGAAUGCUGGCGGCGUGCUUAACACAUGCAAGUCGAACGGAAAGGCCCUGCUUUUGUGGGGUGCUCGAGUGGCGAACGGGUGAGUAACACGUGAGUAACCUGCCCUUGACUUUGGGAUAACUUCAGGAAACUGGGGCUAAUACCGGAUAGGAGCUCCUGCUGCAUGGUGGGGGUUGGAAAGUUUCGGCGGUUGGGGAUGGACUCGCGGCUUAUCAGCUUGUUGGUGGGGUGGUGGCUUACCAAGGCUUUGACGGGUAGCCGGCCUGAGAGGGUGACCGGCCACAUUGGGACUGAGAUACGGCCCAGACUCCUACGGGAGGCAGCAGUGGGGAAUAUUGCACAAUGGGCGGAAGCCUGAUGCAGCAACGCCGCGUGCGGGAUGACGGCCUUCGGGUUGUAAACCGCUUUCGCCUGUGACGAAGCGUGAGUGACGGUAAUGGGUAAAGAAGCACCGGCUAACUACGUG
Molecule: ribosomal RNA, 468 nt
Filed under: uncultured bacterium
Lineage: Bacteria
Description: partial 16S ribosomal RNA
Rfam family: Bacterial small subunit ribosomal RNA
Source: RNAcentral